RNAcentral lists this ribosomal RNA (229 nucleotides) under uncultured bacterium. RNAcentral's name for it is "partial 16S ribosomal RNA". It matches the Rfam family "Bacterial small subunit ribosomal RNA", at positions 568 to 796 of the family's 1533-position model. The record is from RNAcentral.
CGUGUAGGCGGCAUGGCAAGUCAGGUGUGAAAGCCCUCGGCUCAACUGAGGAAGUGCACUUGAAACUGCUAAGCUAGAGUACGGGAGAGGGUUGUAGAAUUCCCGGUGUAGAGGUGAAAUUCGUAGAUAUCGGGAGGAAUACCGGUGGCGAAGGCGGCAACCUGGACCGAUACUGACGCUGAGACGCGAAAGCGUGGGGAGCAAACAGGAUUAGAUACCCUGGUAGUCC